GAUGAACGCUAGCGGCAGGCUUAACACAUGCAAGUCGAGGGGUAAGGUAGCAAUAUCUGAGACCGGCGCACGGGUGCGUAACGCGUAUGCAAUCUACCUUUCACAGAGGGAUAGCCCAGAGAAAUUUGGAUUAAUACCUCAUAGUAUAAUGAUUUGGCAUCAAGACAUUAUUAAAGUCACAACGGUGAAAGAUGAGCAUGCGUCCCAUUAGCUAGUUGGUAUGGUAACGGCAUACCAAGGCGACGAUGGGUAGGGGUCCUGAGAGGGAGAUCCCCCACACUGGUACUGAGACACGGACCAGACUCCUACGGGAGGCAGCAGUGAGGAAUAUUGGACAAUGGGCGCAAGCCUGAUCCAGCCAUGCCGCGUGCAGGAUGACGGUCCUAUGGAUUGUAAACUGCUUUUGCACAGGAAGAAACAACGCUACGUGUAGCGUCUUGAUGGUACUGUGAGAAUAAGGAUCGGCUAACUCCG
Molecule: ribosomal RNA, 474 nt
Filed under: uncultured bacterium
Lineage: Bacteria
Description: bacterial SSU rRNA
Rfam family: Bacterial small subunit ribosomal RNA
Source: RNAcentral